This 243-nucleotide long non-coding RNA is filed under the name Nicotiana benthamiana. RNAcentral's name for it is "long non-coding RNA (NBEN_LNC022175)". The record is from RNAcentral. Lineage: Eukaryota; Viridiplantae; Streptophyta; Magnoliopsida; Solanales; Solanaceae.
GGUAGUCUGUCCUGUAGGAAUAGCCACAGGUUGAACACUGCUUUUGGUCUGGCUUGGUUUUGUAUGAUUAAGUUCUUCCAUGGGACUGUCGGCACUUCUUGCAACUGUGACUGGUACAACUGUUUAGUAGUACAUUUCUGAUGUUUCCAGUUCUGGAUCCUUUGUAGAGUGUCCCUGGAUUGGAUGAUCUUCUAACCAUCUAGCUAGCUUGGGUAGGAAUUAGCAUGGACUCUAUUGGCAUGU